Molecule: unclassified non-coding RNA, 308 nt
Filed under: Hevea brasiliensis (rubber tree)
Lineage: Eukaryota; Viridiplantae; Streptophyta; Magnoliopsida; Malpighiales; Euphorbiaceae
Source: RNAcentral
AGAGAGAGAGAGAGAGAGAUAAGAGAGAGCUUGAAGGCGUAGUUUGACCUUAUGAGCCGUGAUAAGAUAAUACAAAGAUGCCUGGUGGAUUGGGGUGUUGGGUGAUACUUAUAGCACUAUUGAAAUUAGUGGGGCUGAGGUUGCGAUGAUGGAUAUGGGCGUUGUCGAGAAUUUGAAGAUGCGUAAAUGUGUCUAUGACUUUUGAGGGUACAUACGUGACACGCCUACAUUGGGGAAUAUAGCGCAAAGUCAAAAUGGUAGGUCGGGGUUAUGAUUGUUCCCCACUCUUAUUAUUAUUAUUAUUAUUA